GGAAGGCAGCAGGCGCGCAAAUUACCCACUCCCAGAACGGGGAGGUAGUGACGAAAAAUAACAAUACGGGACUCUUUUGAGACCCCGUAAUUGGAAUGAGUACACUCUAAAUCCUUUAACGAGGAUCCAUUGGAGAGCAAGUCUGGUGCCAGCAGUCGCGGUAAUUCCAGCUCCAAUAGCGUAUAUUAAAGUUGUUGCGGUUAAAAAGCUCGUAGUUGGAUCUCAGAUCCGGCCGGACGGUCCGCCUACCGGUGGUUACUGUUCGUUGCCGAUCGUUCAGGCGGUUAUUCUUGAUGAUCUUCACCGGUUGUCUCGGGUGACCGCCAAGUUUACUUUGAAAAAAUUAGAGUGCUCAAAGCAGGCGUGACGCCUGAAUAAUUGUGCAUGGAAUAAUGGAAUAGGACCUCGGUUCUAUUUUGUUGGUUUUCGGAACACGAGGUAAUGAUUAAGAGGGACAGACGGGGGCAUUCGUAUUGCGACGCUAGAGGUGAAAUUCUUGGACCGUCGCAAGACGAACUACUGCGAAAGCAUUUGCCAAGAAUGUUUCCAUUAAUCAAGAACGAAAGUUAGAGGUUCGAAGGCGAUCAGAUACCGCCCUAGUUCUAACCAUAAACGAUGCCAGCCAGCGAUCCGGCUGUGUUCCUCAAAUGACACGCCGGGCAGCUUCCGGGAAACCAAAGCUUUUGGGUUCC
RNAcentral lists this ribosomal RNA (692 nucleotides) under Araneus angulatus. RNAcentral describes it as "SSU rRNA". It matches the Rfam family "Eukaryotic small subunit ribosomal RNA", at positions 420 to 1115 of the family's 1831-position model. The record is from RNAcentral. Lineage: Eukaryota; Metazoa; Arthropoda; Arachnida; Araneae; Araneidae.